RNAcentral lists this ribosomal RNA (1591 nucleotides) under Triticum aestivum (bread wheat). RNAcentral describes it as "partial small subunit ribosomal RNA". The record is from RNAcentral. Lineage: Eukaryota; Viridiplantae; Streptophyta; Magnoliopsida; Poales; Poaceae.
CUUGCGGAGGCGGGGUUUAGAGGUUUGCGAACCGCGAGCGAAGCGGAAGCACGCGGAUAAGGGGAGGGGUAGCGGCGGCCGCUAGCGGCCCUAGGAGGGGGCUCGAGCGCCUUAAACCGUACACUGUUCACCCUAACGCGCCCCCUUCCUCCGCGGGCGGCCGCUUGUCAGGACGGCCGCCUCUGCGGACGCCGCGGUCUCCCGGUGGCUAACUGUGGCUCUAAAGGAGUUGUGGGGGACUAAAAAGGCCGUAAAAAACUCCCGAGCCGCAGGAGGUCCUUAAGCCGAUAACGUCCAACGAUAGUGUUUUACCAGACGUACCGGCCUGUAAAAUUUUACCGAAGACACGAUUUCGAUUACUACCUUUUAGUACGGUGUGGACUACUCCACUAAUUACUCUUCUCACGAAGUGUAUAGGAUGUGUUCGUCGAAGAAUCGCGUGUACUUGGUUUAAACGAACUACUUCUACUAUACGUAUAUAAGCCUAGUUUUGGAUACCGACUAGGUAACCUGGACCAGGCGACACUAUGUACGGUCUUCGGACAAUUCCGGUCGGUAAUACGUGGAGUACGUCUCGCUACAUCGAGUCCCUUCCACUUGGGUUUGCUAAGUUACCCACAUCUUCUGCUACAAGUAGGAUACUUCGGAGGUUUCUUCCCGUCCUUUUAUUUCGACUGUUCGUUACCUUUAGUUUUCCAUGUAUAUUUUCACUUUAAUUUUAGAGUCGGGCUUUUAUUCUUGUAGCAGUUACUGAAACUCAACUGGUUACCCUUACUCUCGUUUGGAAAUUUAAGAUAACGACUAGUUUCCAAGUUUUGUAGACGGUGGUUACGAGGACUUUCAGCAAAAUCUCUACACGGUCGAGGAGAACGAUGUUUUUACAUAGUAAGUGCCCCUUUGAUGGUCGAAGCUAACCUCGAACGAGUCGAAAUGGCACUUAGUACGCGCCUCGUAAGUGUGUCGAUGCGUUCAUCAUGUUGAGGUUUGAGCAGUGUCUUAUUACCCAACCAUGGUACACUAUUAAGUUGUAAUGUACCAAGACUACUAAACCGUAAUGUACCAAGACUUAUAAGUCAUAAUGUACGACGAGCCUUCUCGUCGUAAGGGUUUUUUUUCGAAGAUCUAGUCGACGGACGUUCGUGUAGUCCCAACACGAGUCCUUAGAGAGGUGUUAAUAGUAGUUCGCCCGGUUCAGCAGACGUCCGUUGUUUUCGAGUCUCUCGUCUGUGAGGUCAUAGACCUCAAUCUUUACUUAACCCUUCUUCGUCCACGUUGUUUCACCGUCAAGGAAGAAGUUUUUGGUGUCCGUUUUUCUUCUGCGUCUUCGUUAGAUUGCGCGAUGGACGUUAGAUUCGGAGUCAUCUCAUCGGGUAACUAACCAACAAGUAACCAUAUCGGCGAAGUAACCACUUUCAUUAUCUCAUAGAGUAAAACAAGUAAAUUAUACUUUAAAUAAGAUCAGCCUUACUGAAGCCCUGGCCUGCUAGACUUAUGUUCCAGUAAAACCGAGUAACUGAGAACCAUCUUCGAUUGGUGUUGGGAAAGGCCGGGACCCAAUAUAGGUCAUCAUGUACAGUAUUGUUCUUUGACC